UGCCAAUAAACUGAAGAGUGCAUGAG
RNAcentral lists this non-coding RNA (26 nucleotides) under Homo sapiens (human). Lineage: Eukaryota; Metazoa; Chordata; Mammalia; Primates; Hominidae. The record is from RNAcentral.